UUAACUUUACUUUCUGAAAGGAGGAGAGUAUUUUAGUUAACUCUACAACUUUAUGCGUUUAAAGUUUUGGCAAGGUGUAGAAUUGGAAAAAACUGUUUAUUUGGAGUGAUCCAGGUAGAGAAAAAAAUCUAUGAAAAGUUGUGCCAGCACUAGCGGUUAUACAAUUUAGAUUCCUAAAAUUUUCUGUGACCAAAUUUUUUAUCAUUACAAAUUAAUCUCUCUAUUUUAAGGGUGAAAUUUUCAAAAUGGAGUUAUUUGGAGUAAAAAAUACCAAGUCCCACCUUAAACCAGGAUUAGAGACCCUGCUAUAAAGAAGUAGUUCGUGGUCUUACGGAGUAAAGAUUUGAAAAGCAUUCUUUUUGGCGGUUUUUCUUCUCACUAGAGGGUUAUGUGACAUAAACGAAUCUGCCCGAAGAACUCUGCCUUUGUCUGGAAUAACCUCAUUCUGUACACCACUGUUGGAAAAUUAUUUUUUUUCUUAUUUGGAGAUAAAACAAGUAAAGGUGCAGACUAUGAAAAGGGUGAUCGUGUAAUCCAAUCUGAAAUGAUUUCGAGAAUAAGAAAUAUUACUCAAGGGAGAGAAUUUAGAAGUAAAAAAAGUUGGCAAUCCUCUUUUGAAGAGAGUUCAGAAAAACGUACAAAUUGCCCGUCACUCCCAGAAGUGGGGAAGUCGUAACACAGUUGUUUUACUGGAAGGUGAAACAGGGAGUU
Molecule: non-coding RNA, 711 nt
Filed under: Quadraceps sp. SLC-2011
Lineage: Eukaryota; Metazoa; Arthropoda; Insecta; Psocodea; Philopteridae
Source: RNAcentral